RNAcentral lists this ribosomal RNA (345 nucleotides) under Thamnodontus tobiironis. Its description in RNAcentral is "partial 16S ribosomal RNA". It matches the Rfam family "Archaeal large subunit ribosomal RNA", at positions 1904 to 2404 of the family's 2987-position model. The record is from RNAcentral. Lineage: Eukaryota; Metazoa; Arthropoda; Insecta; Ephemeroptera; Heptageniidae.
AACAUGGCUUUUUGGAGGGAUAAAAAGUCUGGCCUGCCCACUGAGUAGUUUAAAGGGCCGCGGUAUUUUGACCGUGCAAAGGUAGCAUAAUCAUUAGUCUUCUAAUUAAAGGCUGGAAUGAAGGGUCGGACGAGGUACAAGCUGUCUCACUGAAAUGGUUUAGAAUUUAGCUUUUUAGUUAAAAGGCUGAAAUGAUGUUGGAGGACGAGAAGACCCUAUAGAUCUUUACAUUAAACUCGUUUAACUGGUUUGGUUAGUCUUUAGUUUUCUGGGGAAAAUGUUUCGUUGGGGUGACGGGAAGAUAAAAUAAACUCUUUUUAAAGUUUAACACUGAUGAGUGAUUGG